RNAcentral lists this ribosomal RNA (465 nucleotides) under uncultured bacterium. Its description in RNAcentral is "partial 16S ribosomal RNA". It matches the Rfam family "Bacterial small subunit ribosomal RNA", at positions 338 to 795 of the family's 1533-position model. The record is from RNAcentral.
CCUACGGGUGGCAGCAGUGGGGAAUAUUGCGCAAUGGGCGCAAGCCUGACGCAGCGACGCCGCGUGAGGGAUGAAGGUCUUCGGAUCGUAAACCUCUGUCAGCAGGGAAGAACGGUCACUGUGCUAUUCAGCAGUGAAUUGACGGUACCUGCAAAGGAAGCACCGGCUAACUCCGUGCCAGCAGCCGCGGUAAUACGGAGGGUGCGAGCGUUAAUCGGAAUUUCUGGGCGUAAAGCGCUCGUUGGCGGUAUGUCAAGUCAAGGGUGAAAUCCCCGCGCUCAACGUGGGAACUGCCUUUGAAACUGGCAAACUGGAGUGUGUGGGAGGAUAGUGGAAUUCCAGGUGUAGGAGUGAAAGCCGUAGAUAUCUGGGGGAACAUCAGUGGCGAAGGCGACUAUCUGGCACAUAACUGACGCUGAGGAGCGAAAGCGUGGGUAGCAAACAGGAUUAGAUACCCGGGUAGUC